RNAcentral lists this ribosomal RNA (254 nucleotides) under uncultured bacterium. RNAcentral's name for it is "partial 16S ribosomal RNA". It matches the Rfam family "Bacterial small subunit ribosomal RNA", at positions 524 to 776 of the family's 1533-position model. The record is from RNAcentral.
UACGUAGGGCGCAAGCGUUGUCCGGAAUUAUUGGGCGUAAAGAGCUCGUAGGCGGCUUGUCGCGUCUGUUGUGAAAGCCCGGGGCUUAACCCCGGGCCUGCAGUGGGUACGGGCAGACUAGAGUGCGGUAGGGGAGACUGGAAUUCCGUGGUGUAGCGGUGAAAUGCGCAGAUAUCAGGAGGAACACCGAUGGCGAAGGCAGGUCUCUGGGCAUUAACUGACGCUGAGGAGCGAAAGCAUGGGGAGCGAACAGG